ACUCUCAAACUAUUAUCUCUGGUUUUGUGUGUUACAGGUAAUGAAUUAGUUUAAUUUUCAACUUCUAGACCUCCAGUAUUACAUUGCUUUAUCAUACGUUACCGGGAUCCUAAAAAACAAAUACAUAUACAAAAACAGAAAAUAAACAUCACCUCCACAAGUGGUUACUGUGCAUUAAUCCAGAAUGGGUGGUGAUCGGGAUGAGUUGGGGGGUGGGGUUCAGCACCUAUUAGAAAGACUGCAACUACUCUUGUGGUCUAAUGGAACAUAGGUUUUUCUUUAGGAGAGAUUAAUCGGGAGUGAGGUCUGCCUAAACCUGAGAUGAGAAGAAUUUGUCUCCUGAGAAUAAUGAUGGAUAUCCCUCAAGAAUUGAAGAUGGGCCAGAAAGAAGAAAGCAUUGUGGCUUGGUUGAUGUACAGAAAGAGCUCUUACUGAAUCCAGUAGCAUUCCCAGUGCUGUUGAAGGUGUAAAUCACUCUAAAGGCUUUGGUGUAUGCAGUCCUGGAUUCAAAUCCUAUCUCUGAAAGCUUGAAGAAGAGAGUUGACAUUUCUGGAGCACACAAAUCAACUCAUUAAAUAAUGACAAAUGAAUAUCUUUUCUGACUUCGAUAGCACACAUACUAGAAUUAGAAAAUACCAAGGAGAUCAUUGUGGCCCCUGGGCAUGGGUGAUCUAUAUCAUCGUUCCCCAACCCCUGGGCCAUGGACCUGUACUGGCUUAUGGCCUGUUGGGAACCGGGUCACACAGCUGGAGGGUACACAGAAUGAUUACAUUUGUUCCUUGCUGUUAGGAGGAACAAGCAGAAGUUCCAUAUGCCACCUUCUUCUGCUACUGCAGCAACAAGUGAUAUUCGAGACAGUGAAGCCCCCAUCAAUUCUAGACUGAUAUGGAGCAGAGACGACCUCCUAUACACACUCCCACUACUGACCCAUGGUGGACAAGAAACCAGAAAUUUCAUUAUGUUAAGCUUCUGAGAUAUUUCUGUUUUUUCCACUGAACAUUAUUCUAAUUUAUGUGAUAUAUUUGAUUUUAGAGCUAACUUGUUCUAAAGCUUACAGUCUUUUGCUGGGCAGGGUAGCAGUUCCAGCCACUUAGUAGGCUGAAACAGGAGGAUGGCUUAAGCUCAGGAGUUUGAGACCAGCCUGGGCUAAAUAAUGAGACCCCAUCUCUUAAAAAUAUAUACAAAAUAUAUAAACAAAAAUAAAGCUUACAAUUUUUUUCAACAACAACCUUGUGUAUAGUUCAAACGGAUUUUGUACCCCAUACCUUAGUAACCUACUCAAUGUCAUAUAAGCCUUUCUACCUUUCAGAGUAUCUUCUUGUCAUUCCUUCUUAAAAUGCUCCUCCCAAAUCCUAUUCUGUCUUUUUUUACUACUUUUGAUCUGAACUGUCCAAUAUGUGACUUUGUCCAUAUGUGUCCACAUGCAACUAUUGAGCCCUUGAAAUAUGGCUAGUUCAAAACUGAGAUACACUGUAAGUAUAAUACUGCAUACUGGAUUUUGAACAAUUAGGACAAAAAGAAUAUUAAAUAUAUUCUUAAAAUUAAUUACAUGUUAAAAUGGUAUGUUGGAUAUAUUUGGUUAAAUGAAACUUUAUUAAAA
This 1600-nucleotide long non-coding RNA is filed under the name Homo sapiens (human). RNAcentral's name for it is "non-protein coding lnc-OLFM4-4:7". Lineage: Eukaryota; Metazoa; Chordata; Mammalia; Primates; Hominidae. The record is from RNAcentral.